CCUACGGGAGGCAGCAGUGAGGAAUAUUGGUCAAUGGGCGUAAGCCUGAACCAGCGACGCCGCGUGAGUGAAGAAGUAUUUCGGUAUGUAAAGCUCUAUCAGCAGGGAAGAAAAUGACGGUACCUGAGUAAGAAGCUCCGGCUAAAUACGUGCCAGCAGCCGCGGUAAUACGUAUGGAGCAAGCGUUAUCCGGAUUUACUGGGCGUAAAGGGGGCGUAGGCGGCCUGCCAGGUCUGAUGUGAAAUACCGGGGCUCAACCCCGGGGCUGCAUUGGAAACUGGCAGGCUGGAGUGCCGGAGAGGAAGGCGGAAUUCCUGGUGUAGCGGUGAAAUGCGUAGAUAUUAGGAGGAACACCAGUGGCGAGGGCGGUGUGCUGGACGGUGACUGACGCUGAGGCUCGAAAGCGUGGGGAGCAAACAGGAUUAGAUACCCGAGUAGUC
Molecule: ribosomal RNA, 440 nt
Filed under: uncultured bacterium
Lineage: Bacteria
Description: partial 16S ribosomal RNA
Rfam family: Bacterial small subunit ribosomal RNA
Source: RNAcentral